This 21-nucleotide non-coding RNA is filed under the name Caenorhabditis elegans. Lineage: Eukaryota; Metazoa; Nematoda; Chromadorea; Rhabditida; Rhabditidae. The record is from RNAcentral.
UCACAAUAAAUUCACUGAGGG